This 496-nucleotide ribosomal RNA is filed under the name uncultured bacterium. Its description in RNAcentral is "partial 16S ribosomal RNA". It matches the Rfam family "Bacterial small subunit ribosomal RNA", at positions 29 to 507 of the family's 1533-position model. The record is from RNAcentral.
AUGAACGCUGGCGGCGUGCCUAAUACAUGCAAGUCGAGCGAACAGACGAGGAGCUUGCUCCUCUGACGUUAGCGGCGGACGGGUGAGUAACACGUGGAUAACCUACCUAUAAGACUGGGAUAACUUCGGGAAACCGGAGCUAAUACCGGAUAAUAUAUUGAACCGCAUGGUUCAAUAGUGAAAGACGGUUUUGCUGUCACUUAUAGAUGGAUCCGCGCCGCAUUAGCUAGUUGGUAAGGUAACGGCUUACCAAGGCAACGAUGCGUAACCGACCUGAGAGGGUGAUCGGCCACACUGGAACUGAGACACGGUCCAGACUCCUACGGGAGGCAGCAGUAGGGAAUCUUCCGCAAUGGGCGAAAGCUUGACGGAGCAACGCCGCGUGAGUGAUGAAGGUCUUCGGAUCGUAAAACUCUGUUAUUAGGGAAGAACAAAUGUGUAAGUAACUAUGCACGUCUUGACGGUACCUAAUCAGAAAGCCACGGCUAACUACGUG